RNAcentral lists this transfer RNA (74 nucleotides) under Candidatus Omnitrophota bacterium. Its description in RNAcentral is "tRNA-Arg". It matches the Rfam family "tRNA". From Rfam's summary of the family: Transfer RNA (tRNA) molecules are approximately 80 nucleotides in length. Their secondary structure includes four short double-helical elements and three loops (D, anti-codon, and T loops). Further hydrogen bonds mediate the characteristic L-shaped molecular structure. tRNAs have two regions of fundamental functional importance: the anti-codon, which is responsible for specific mRNA codon recognition, and the 3' end, to which the tRNAs corresponding amino acid is attached (by aminoacyl-tRNA synthetases). tRNAs cope with the degeneracy of the genetic code in two manners: having more than one tRNA (with a specific anti-codon) for a particular amino acid; and 'wobble' base-pairing, i.e. permitting non-standard base-pairing at the 3rd anti-codon position. Lineage: Bacteria; Pseudomonadati; Candidatus Omnitrophota. The record is from RNAcentral.
GCGCCCGUGGCUCAAUUGGAUAGAGCAUUUGGCUACGGACCAGAAGGUUGCAGGUUCGAGUCCUGCCGGGCGCG